GACGAACGCUGGCGGCGUGCUUAACACAUGCAAGUCGAACGGUAAGGCCCUUCGGGGUACACGAGUGGCGAACGGGUGAGUAACAAGUGGGUGAUCUGCACUGCACUUUGGGAUAAGCCUGGGAAACUGGGUCUAAUACCGGAUAGCACCAUUCACUUCACGGUGUGUGGUGGCAAGCUUUUGCGGUGUGGGAUGGGCCCGCGGCCUAUCAGCUUGUUGGUGGGGUGAUGGCCUACCAAGGCGACGACGGGUAGCCGGCCUGAGAGGGUGACCGGCCACACUGGGAGUGAGAUACGGCCCAGACUCCUACGGGAGGCAGCAGUGGGGAAUAUUGCACAAUGGGCGCAAGCCUGAUGCAGCGACGCCGCGUGAGGGAUGACGGCCUUCGGGUUGUAAACCUCUUUCAGUAGGGACGAAGCGCAAGUGACGGUACCUACAGAAGAAGGACCGGCCAACUACGUGCCAGCAGCCGCCGUAA
This 478-nucleotide ribosomal RNA is filed under the name uncultured bacterium. RNAcentral's name for it is "partial 16S ribosomal RNA". It matches the Rfam family "Bacterial small subunit ribosomal RNA", at positions 28 to 523 of the family's 1533-position model. The record is from RNAcentral.